Molecule: long non-coding RNA, 3291 nt
Organism: Zea mays
Lineage: Eukaryota; Viridiplantae; Streptophyta; Magnoliopsida; Poales; Poaceae
Exons: 2
Source: RefSeq, a predicted model, not a curated record
UAUCACGGUUAGUAGUUGUAAUCCAUUAUGAGACUAUAUCAAUGUGUUAUCUUGGCACAAUCUAGUUUUAACAUGUGAGAUCCAUUAUUGGUACUGUUCGAUAAUGGUGACACGAUUAAGGACUCAUGGUGCCGCAGCGAAAUUGAGAGCCUCCUAUGAAUGCGCACAUAGGAUUGUGCUACUCGUCGGAUGCUGGUAUCAAGGUCUCUGGUCAUGAUCCAUUGUGGAACUACACUGAUGUGUGAUCUUCCGUGGACUCCUCCCUUGAAACAAUUUCUAUGUUGUUUGUCAAAUGAUCAAGCAACAUCUAUCAUCUCUGUUGGAUAAAAAGAGCAUACCAACUUUCAUGUGUGGUCUCUUUCCUUUUGAUCUUGGUAGUGACUACUCAUACAAGUUCCCUUUACGUCCUUUGUGUAAAGGUGAAGCCUUGGAGCUUUUUAGUGUUGGAAAACAACUGAUUAGCUCUCAAAAUGGAGAUCUGCUUCCCCUGCCACUGAAAUGCAGGAGUUUGUUCAUUCGCUCUUUUAUUCAAUCCUUGUAUUCCCUAACCAAGUCGGUUCAUCUUGUAUAGAAGAAACGGAUAAACAACCGACCAAAUGGAUUCCUGUCCAAAUGCAUGAUCAACUGUUAAUAAGAGUGAACUCUCAACCCUUGGCUUACCGGUGGUACUGAGAGGACCUGCUCAAUAUCAAAAGUAGUUCAACAAGUUGGUUUUACUAACUUGUAACUGCCCUAUGAACAAAGGUUGAGUUUAGAGAUCGUUUUGUCGAGUUGGCUAAACUCACUUUGGUUCAACCCAUCCUAAGAAAGUUCUUACAAAGAUCAAGUUAAAAUCGACUGAUAGUCACCUAAUUAUCGCUCUAGUCGUGCCUUGAUCGACUCACGUGUGCUUUUCCAGCAUAUGUGAUCAGGUCGAGUCAUGCUUAGUGCUCAAAAAAGUGGAUUGAUUGUGAAGCCAACAAUUGUUGAUAAUCUUCACUGAUGUUUCCUUGAGUCUCCAUUAGCAUCAUUGGACUUGGAUUUUCUGGCUAACACGAGUUAACUGUGAUGUUAUUCGACAUUCACACCCGUCUCGUGUGCUAUGAACUUACCGUGACCACUUGUUGGUAAACCUCUUUCUGUGUGAUUUACCCAAGAGGUUUCAUCUGGUUCUGUUUGGGUAAAGUCGUAUAUCUACCGCUCGCCCACCAAACUCAGAUAGUACAGUGUUAUCAGGAAAAACAAACUGCACACAUGGAACCUUAGGUGUUCUUCUGUCAAUCAUCGUCUCUAUUGUUGGCAUCUCUAAUUAGCAUAAAGAUGAUACAUGCUACACUCACUUGAGAUCUUGAGAUAAUCGUCUUUGCUUGGAAUUAGCUUAUGCUAUCACUAUUAUGGAUAGGGUUAUACGCCUCUCUACUCUUAGAAGUCUUUCGUUCUGAAUCUCGGGACGAGAUUCUUUUAAGGGGGGAAGGCUGUAACACCCCAGGUGUUUGUCGUCUUCUCGACCACGAGUGCGGACGUUAACACGUGAUAGCGGUGAAUGUAAAUGUCACUAAAUUUUUAAUCAUCUUUGUCUAUCACGAUUUUGAUAUCGUGUUUGUCUCCAUAUGUUUAAAUUGUCCUAAUUUAGUUUGCAAAAAUUCAGACUUAAGUAAUCUUCCGAAACAUCAGAUCCAAUAUCGUUUGGGUUGAGCCAUCGACGUCUUGCCCAAACUCUAACCUUUGAAAUCAGAUCUGGUUCUGUAGAAUCCAUUUUUUUUAAUUCCCUCGCGCCUGUGUCGUGCGCGUCCCUCUGCGGCCUGGCAUUGUGACGUGUGGCGAGCGUUAACCGGUGUCUGGACAGCGCACAGCCUCUCGCCCACGUAAACGAUGCGUGUCGUCGCUUUUGAAAGGAUCACAAGUUCGAUGUCAUAUCGAUCUCGCGUAUUUAUUUUGCGAAAUGUCGAGUGUUGUGUCUGUUUAAAAAUUUAUGGAUAAGGGGAACAUUAAUUUGGAAUCUCGACCCACUCUUGUGAAUUUUGACCCGAGUAAAUUUUAUUAGAAGCUCGGCGACAAGGGCGUUGAUGCGAGAUUUAAUUGGACCACGAUAAUUAAAACCGAACUGAGUAUUCGUAAUUAAUCGGUUCCACUGUCUACAACUGUGGAAAUUUGUCUGAUCCUAAAAAUACCUACCAGUGUUAGCGUAGUCUAAAAACAUUAAAAUUGAUAUUGUUUUGAUGGGUCUGUUUGCAUCUCGCUCGGAUUCAAAUCCCAGAUUUUUACUUAUUUGGGGUAUUCUAUUGGUUAAAGAUUGGAGAAGGAAAAUCUGAAUUUUCUUACCUCUAAGUGUCCAUCUCCAACUAAUCCUCAUCCUACGUAAAAAAAUGGCUCCCAGAAAGUGUCUCUCGUAUGUUCCUUGAUUUCCUUGGAAAUUUCAUCCACCGCCAGCAUUACUAUUACGUGGCCAAAAUCCCUGAAGCGGCAUGUCUUACUCCCACACGUCCUUAUCUUCCUCUAGACUUAUCCCCAUCGUUUCUAGCUUCUAGUUUAUCCGUUGUCGGCAUUAUCUUUUCAAGAGCUGGACGCACGUCUCCAUGUUGCCUGUCGGCCUUAUCUCCAUCCCUCAUCACCUCUGCGAGCACAAGUUUUAGCGCCUGCCCUCAGUCCAGCUCGCCAGCAGCUCUCUGCCCUCCUCCCUCAAGCCCUAGCCGAGUUUUUCCAUGGUGCCCUGGAUGCCAGCCCCUUUACUCGCUGCCCCUGCAUUCCUGCUCGCCCUGCCCCCAGCCAUGGACGCCGUCGGGCCACCCGUUCCUAUCUCCCCUCACCCUCAUCCUCUGGCUGCUGCCCCUUCCUAUUCCUGGUGGUUGAGUCUUCUUCCAUGGACGCCAAUAGCAGCAGCCCACUCCUUCUUUUGUUCUCCAUGGAUGAAAGCCCAAGCAUCUGCCCCUCCCCUAGGUUUUUUACAAUCGCAGCAGCACGUCGAACCUUUGCAACCCCGGUGAGACCAGCUGCUUGCGCUAUGUUUAUUCCCCACCAAUUCCUAUAUUUGAUUAUUUACUGUAUAUGUUUGUGUGUUUGUGGUGGAGGUAAAUCCUAGGAAAUUUAGAUGAGAAGAAAGCUAUAGCGAGGCGCUUGCCAAGUGCUUGGUGAAUCGCCUCAACCGGAUGUGGUUGUCGAUCUCGCGGAGUCGAGUCGAGUUUAGUCAUGGUACGUUCAUUGAUCACGUAAUGUGGAGGACAACAACUGGAAUAAUCUCAAGAUGGGACUGAUGAAUGAACCCAAAGCUAAAUGAUCUGAUCGUGCUGGAAUGGGAGGUGCUCGCCAAGCGAG